CGGCGCGCUUACGCAUGCAAGUCGAGCGAUGAGGCUCCCUUCGGGGGGUACAUCAGCGGCAGACGGGUGAGUAACACGUAGGUAACCUGCCCUCAAGACGGGGAUAACGCCUGGAAACGGGCGCUAAUACCGGAUGACCUUAGUUGGGGAAGCACCGGCUAAGGAAAGGCUUUGGCGCUUGAGGAUGGGCCUGCGGCCCAUCAGUUAGUUGGUAGGGUAACGGCCUACCAAGGCGAAGACGGGUAGGGGGUGUGAGAGCACGGNCCCCCACACUGGGACUGAGACACGGCCCAGACUCCUACGGGAGGCAGCAGCGGGGAAUAUUGCGCAAUGGACGGAAGUCAGACGCAGCGACGCCGCGUGGGUGAAGAAGGCCUUCGGGUUGUAAAGCCCUUUUCUGUGGGAAGAGGAAGGACGGUACCAUAGGAAUAAGCGUCGGCUAACUACGUGCCAGCAGCCGCGGUAAGACGUAGGACGCGAGCGUUAUCCGGAUUUACUGGGCGUAAAGCGUGUGUAGGCGGCGUGACAAGUUGGGCGUGAAAGCCCCGUGCUCAACGCGGGGAGGCCGCACAAUACUGUCAGGCUAGAGGGCAUCAGAGGGGUGUGGAAUUCCCGGAGUAGCGGUAAAAUGCGCAGAUAUCGGGAGGAACACCGGUGGCGAAAGCGGCACCCUGGGGUGCACCUGACGCUGAGAGACGACAGCUAGGGGAGCGAACAGGAUUAGAGACCCUGGUUGUCCUAGCCGUAAACGAUGGAUUCUAGGUGUGGGAGUGAAGAACUUUUGUGCCGCACCGACCGCGAUAAGCAUCCCGCCUGGGGAGUACGGACGCAACGUUAAAACUC
Molecule: ribosomal RNA, 843 nt
Filed under: uncultured organism
Description: bacterial SSU rRNA
Rfam family: Bacterial small subunit ribosomal RNA
Source: RNAcentral